UGAGCACUUGGACUAUAGCAAAGACCAUAGAAUGUGGAGAGCGGCAGUAUAAAGAUAAAGGACGUUGUUGCAACGACUGCCCCCCAGGAACCUAUUUGAAGGACUUUUGCUCUGAAACUCGUGAAACAGUUUGCCUUCCCUGUCCGGAUGGCUUUUAUGCAGAUAAACACCACAGCUUUGACCGCUGUGAGCGUUGCCGUUCAUGCCCCGCAGGGAAAACGGCAAUCUGCACCCCAACCUCAAAUGGAAACUGUUUUUGCCGACCUGGUUUCCUGUGCUCCGACCACGACUGCACGCGGUGCGAGGAGAACAAGUGCGCCGCAGGAGAGGAACU
Fundulus heteroclitus (mummichog) is the source of this 334-nucleotide long non-coding RNA. RefSeq lists it as uncharacterized. The transcript has 3 exons. The record is from RefSeq and is a predicted model, not a curated record. NCBI's taxonomy places the organism in Eukaryota, Metazoa, Chordata, Actinopteri, Cyprinodontiformes, Fundulidae.